RNAcentral lists this ribosomal RNA (462 nucleotides) under uncultured bacterium. Its description in RNAcentral is "partial 16S ribosomal RNA". It matches the Rfam family "Bacterial small subunit ribosomal RNA", at positions 28 to 507 of the family's 1533-position model. The record is from RNAcentral.
GACGAACGCUGGCGGCGUGCUUAACACAUGCAAGUCGAACGGAAAGGCGCUUCUGGGUACCCGAGUGGCGAACGGGUGGGUAACACGUGGGUGAACUGCUCUGCACCUUGGGAUAAGCCUGGGAAACUGGGUCUAAUACCGAGAUUGACAACGCACGUCAUGGUGAGUGGUGGAAAGCUUUUGCGGUGUGGGAUGGGGCGGCGGGCUAUCGGUGUGUUGGUCUGGUAAUGGCGUACCAAGGCGACGAGGGUUAGCCGGCCUGAGAGGUGGACCGGACACACGGGCACUAAGAUACGGCCCAGCAGCAUACGGGAGGCAGCAGUGGGGAAUAUUGCACAAUGGGCGCAAGCCAGAUGCAGCGACGCCGCGUGAGGGAUGACGACCUUCGGGUUGUAAACCUCUUUCAACAGGGACGAAGCGCAAGUGACGGUACCUAUAGAAGAAGCACCGGCCAACUACGUG